Molecule: small nuclear RNA, 164 nt
Organism: Neogale vison (American mink)
Lineage: Eukaryota; Metazoa; Chordata; Mammalia; Carnivora; Mustelidae
Gene: U1
Rfam family: U1 spliceosomal RNA
About the family: U1 is a small nuclear RNA (snRNA) component of the spliceosome (involved in pre-mRNA splicing). Its 5' end forms complementary base pairs with the 5' splice junction, thus defining the 5' donor site of an intron. There are significant differences in sequence and secondary structure between metazoan and yeast U1 snRNAs, the latter being much longer (568 nucleotides as compared to 164 nucleotides in human).
Source: Ensembl
AUACUUCCCUGACAGGGGAGAUACCAUGAUCACAAAGGUGGUUUUCCCAGGACAAGGCUUAUCCAUUGCACUCUGGAUGUGCUGACCCAUGGGAUUUCCCCAAAUGUGGGAAACUCGACUGCAUAAUUUGUGGUAGUGGGGGACUGUGUUUGCGCUUUCUCCGG